Molecule: transfer RNA, 89 nt
Filed under: Leucocytozoon caulleryi
Lineage: Eukaryota; Apicomplexa; Aconoidasida; Haemosporida; Leucocytozoidae
Description: tRNA-Ser
Rfam family: tRNA
About the family: Transfer RNA (tRNA) molecules are approximately 80 nucleotides in length.
Source: RNAcentral
AAGAGAAAUGACAGAGAGGUUUAUUGUAAUUGAUUUGAGAUCAAUAAAAUAUAAUAAUAUAUUUCAUGGGUUCGAAUCCCAUUUUCUCU